UGUUGCUGUAUAUUAAGUAUGUAUAUGCCUGUCCCAAGUCAGGAGCCUGUAAAUCAGUGGUUGUCGUUUGUUGCUGUAUAUUAUGUAUGUAUGUGUCUGUCCCAAGUCAGGAGCCUGUAAAUCAGUGGUUGUCGUUUGUUGCUGUAUAUUAUGUAUGUAUAUGCCUGUCCCAAGUCAGGAGCCUGUAAAUCAGUGGUUGUCGUUUGUUGCUGUAUAUUAUGUAUGUAUAUGCCUGUCCCAAGUCAGGAGCCUGUAAAUCAGUGGUUGUCGUUUGUUGCUGUAUAUUAUGUAUGUAUAUGUCUGUCCCAAGUCUGGAGCCUGUAAAUCAGUGGUUGUCGUUUGUUGCUGUAUAUUAUGUAUGUAUGUGUCUGUCCCAAGUCAGGAGCCUGUAAAUCAGUGGUUGUCGUUUGUUGCUGUAUAUUAUGUAUGUAUGUGUCUGUCCCAAGUCAGGAGCCUGUAAAUCAGUGGUUGUCGUUUGUUGCUGUAUAUUAUGUAUGUAUGUGUCUGUCUCAAGUCAGGAGCCUGUAAGUCAGUGGUUGUCGUUUGUUGCUGUAUAUUAUGUAUGUAUGUGUCUGUCUCAAGUCAGGAGCCUGUAAAUCAGUGGUUGUCGUUUGUUGCUGUAUAUUAUGUAUGUAUGUGUCUGUCCCAAGUCAGGAGCCUGUAAAUUAGUGGUUGUCGUUUGUUGCUGUAUAUUAUGUAUGUAUGUGUCUGUCCCAAGUCAGGAGCCUGUAAAUCAGUGGUUGUCGUUUGUUGUUGUAUAUUAUGUAUGUAUGUGUCUGUCCCAAGUCAGGAGCCUGUAAAUCAGU
Molecule: long non-coding RNA, 806 nt
Organism: Mytilus californianus (California mussel)
Lineage: Eukaryota; Metazoa; Mollusca; Bivalvia; Mytilida; Mytilidae
Exons: 3
Source: RefSeq, a predicted model, not a curated record